Molecule: ribosomal RNA, 490 nt
Filed under: uncultured bacterium
Lineage: Bacteria
Description: bacterial SSU rRNA
Rfam family: Bacterial small subunit ribosomal RNA
Source: RNAcentral
AGAGUUGAUCUGGCUCAGGACGAACGCUGGCGGCGUGCCUAACACAUGCAAGUCGAGCGAGGAGAUCCUCGGGAUGAUCCUAGCGGCGGACGGGUGAGUAACACGUGGGCAACCUGCCUCAUAGAGAGGAAUAGCCUUCCGAAAGGGAGAUUAAUACCUCAUAACAUUGCAGUUUCGCAUGGAACAGCAAUUAAAGGAGCAAUCCGCUAUGAGAUGGGCCCGCGGCGCAUUAGCUAGUUGGUGAGGUAACGGCUCACCAAGGCGACGAUGCGUAGCCGACCUGAGAGGGUGAUCGGCCACAUUGGGACUGAGACACGGCCCAGACUCCUACGGGAGGCAGCAGUGGGGAAUAUUGCACAAUGGGGGAAACCCUGAUGCAAGCAACGCCGCGUGAGUGAUGACGGCCUUCGGGUUGUAAAGCUCUGUCUUCAGGGACGAUAAUGACGGUACCUGAGGAGGAAGCCACGGCUAACUACGUGCCAGCCGCUGC